GGCCCUCUUCUCUGCUGCUGCUUUUCUGCAGACUCACAGCAUCACCUGGAACCUGCUGAGAGUGCCACCAAAUGAAGGAGCAGCGAGAACCCACUGGCUGCACUUUGGAACAAGAUAAUCUGCUCUCAUCCUCCAUGACUGAUGGAAGAGGUCACAACAGCAACUCUACCCCUGUAUCAGAGCUUUUUAGGUAAACCUGAUGGACUUGGGAACUCUCCUGAACCUACUCAAGCUAUAACCAGAGUGACGCAGCACUGU
This is a long non-coding RNA of Vidua chalybeata, 258 nucleotides long. RefSeq lists it as uncharacterized. NCBI's taxonomy places the organism in Eukaryota, Metazoa, Chordata, Aves, Passeriformes, Viduidae. The record is from RefSeq and is a predicted model, not a curated record. The transcript is spliced from 3 exons.